AGUCGAGCGGAGAUAUAGUGCUUGCACUAUAUUUUAGCGGCGGACGGGUGAGUAAUACUUAGGAAUCUGCCUAUUAAUGGGGGACAACAUCUCGAAAGGGAUGCUAAUACCGCAUACGCCCUACGGGGGAAAGCAGGGGAUCACUUGUGACCUUGCGUUAAUAGAUGAGCCUAAGUCGGAUUAGCUAGUUGGUGGGGUAAAGGCCUACCAAGGCGACGAUCUGUAGCGGGUCUGAGAGGAUGAUCCGCCACACUGGGACUGAGACACGGCCCAGACUCCUACGGGAGGCAGCAGUGGGGAAUAUUGGACAAUGGGGGGAACCCUGAUCCAGCCAUGCCGCGUGUGUGAAGAAGGCCUUAUGGUUGUAAAGCACUUUAAGCGAGGAGGAGGAGCUCUAGGCUAAUAUCCUAGAUGCUUGGACGUUACUCGCAGAAUAAGCACCGGCUAACUCUGUGCCAGCAGCCGCGGUAAUACAGAGGGUGCGAGCGUUAAUCGGAUUUACUGGGCGUAAAGCGUACGUAGGCGGCUUUUUAAGUCGGAUGUGAAAUCCCUGAGCUUAACUUAGGAAUUGCAUUCGAUACUGGGAAGCUAGAGUAUGGGAGAGGAUGGUAGAAUUCCAGGUGUAGCGGUGAAAUGCGUAGAGAUCUGGAGGAAUACCGAUGGCGAAGGCAGCCAUCUGGCCUAAUACUGACGCUGAGGUACGAAAGCAUGGGGAGCAAACAGGAUUAGAUACGCUGGUAGUCCAUGCCGUACACGAUGUCUACUAGCCGUUGGGGCCUUUGAGGCUUUAGUGGCGCAGCUAACGCGAUAAGUAGACCGCCUGGGGAGUACGGUCGCAAGACUAAAACUCAAAUGAAUUGACGGGGGCCCGCACAAGCGGUGGAGCAUGUGGUUUAAUUCGAUGCAACGCGAAGAACCUUACCUGGUCUUGACAUAGUA
RNAcentral lists this ribosomal RNA (939 nucleotides) under Acinetobacter soli. RNAcentral's name for it is "bacterial SSU rRNA". It matches the Rfam family "Bacterial small subunit ribosomal RNA", at positions 60 to 991 of the family's 1533-position model. Lineage: Bacteria; Pseudomonadati; Pseudomonadota; Gammaproteobacteria; Moraxellales; Moraxellaceae. The record is from RNAcentral.